GAAAACGUUGCUAUAAAGUAUAGCACUUCAUUCCUCUGACUGCAGUUUGAGUCGUCUGGCAUCGAGCUACAUUAUGCUUUCUCGUUGGGGAAGAGAAGUUCAAGUUUUGGGUGGAGCUGACAGAUGGAGGGAUUCAUACCAUACAAAACAGGUGAUGGAAAUCUUCCAGUGACAUGAGAGGAAGUUCCCACCCCUUCAUUUGAUGGAUGGACUGAGACACAGGUG
This is a long non-coding RNA of Dicentrarchus labrax (European seabass), 225 nucleotides long. RefSeq lists it as uncharacterized. Lineage: Eukaryota; Metazoa; Chordata; Actinopteri; Moronidae. The transcript is spliced from 3 exons. The record is from RefSeq and is a predicted model, not a curated record.